This 76-nucleotide transfer RNA is filed under the name Camelus bactrianus (Bactrian camel). It matches the Rfam family "tRNA". From Rfam's summary of the family: Transfer RNA (tRNA) molecules are approximately 80 nucleotides in length. Lineage: Eukaryota; Metazoa; Chordata; Mammalia; Artiodactyla; Camelidae. RNAcentral also lists the same sequence under 2 other names. The record is from Rfam by way of RNAcentral.
GAGGGUUAAGCUCAGUGGUAGAGCAUCUGCCUAGCAUGCAUGAUGUUCUUCCUGGGUUCAAUCCCCAGGACCUUCA